Long non-coding RNA from Acomys russatus (golden spiny mouse), 935 nucleotides. RefSeq lists it as uncharacterized. The transcript has 3 exons. Lineage: Eukaryota; Metazoa; Chordata; Mammalia; Rodentia; Muridae. The record is from RefSeq and is a predicted model, not a curated record.
GGCGGCGGUAGAGGAGGAGGUCGCGGCUGCAGGCGCCGCUGGAGGAGCCGCCUCGGCUGCUGCUGCGAGCGCCGCUGGAGGAGCUGGGGCCCGGGCGGGAGUCCGAGCUGGAGUCGGGGCCGCAGCCGGAGUGCGAGCCGAGGCCGGGGCUGCCCGCGCCGCCGCCGCUGUCCCGGCGGGAGCCCUCGCCUGAUUUCAAGAGUGCAGGGAGCCUGGAGAGCCGAGCAGGAUGCGGAGAGAAGCAGCCGAAGACGAUCAGGGCGCUCGGGUGUCGGGGGGCCAGGUCCAGGGCCGGACACAGCCAGCCAUUCAGGAAGGCAGCGCUGGAGAGCGGGAGGCAGCCGGCGAGGAAGAUCACACACUUUGCUCUUUUUGUUGUGCGGGUGGCGCCGGGUCCUCUCUGCCUUCUUUCGGGAGGUGACGGAAGGGGGAGAAAAAUAUGAGAUAAUUCACGCCGGCGACGAAUUCACAGCGAAAUAGAAAAAAAAUAAAAAUCAGAAGAAAAUACUUGAGAAAAAAAGGAAAAAGAGAAAGCGAGAGAGACAUCCAAAGCAGAUUGCCAGAAUUUGCUGCUUCCCACCUUUCCUCAAGACUUCUAGAAGUAAUAGACAGUAAUAGUCUAAGACAAAUCAGCUCCUUCUUGUAAAAUAGAAUGAGGAAACUGAGAGUCCUAGGAAAGCUGUGGCAAAUAUCUUUACUGGCAUACAGAGGAGAGCAAUUAAUAAGCUACUUUGUUGGCUUUUGAAAUACUUUUAAUUGGAAAAAUUCUGCAAUUGAUGGCACGUAACAGAACAUGUAGAUUGUUCCGUGUAUCUGGUUUUGUGUUGAAGUCUUUGAUCCACUUGGACUUGAGUAUUGUGCAAGAUGAUAAAUAUGGAUCUACUUGUAUUCUUCUACAUCCAGUUUGACUAGCACCAUUGUUGAAGAUGCUGUCU